RNAcentral lists this ribosomal RNA (537 nucleotides) under Clostridioides difficile. Its description in RNAcentral is "bacterial SSU rRNA". It matches the Rfam family "Bacterial small subunit ribosomal RNA", at positions 1 to 563 of the family's 1533-position model. The record is from RNAcentral. Lineage: Bacteria; Bacillati; Bacillota; Clostridia; Peptostreptococcales; Peptostreptococcaceae.
UUUUAUUUGAGAGUUUGAUCCUGGCUCAGGAUGAACGCUGGCGGCGUGCCUAACACAUGCAAGUUGAGCGAUUUACUUCGGUAAAGAGCGGCGGACGGGUGAGUAACGCGUGGGUAACCUACCCUGUACACACGGAUAACAUACCGAAAGGUAUGCUAAUACGGGAUAAUAUGUUUGAGAGGCAUCUCUUGAAUAUCAAAGGUGAGCCAGUACAGGAUGGACCCGCGUCUGAUUAGCUAGUUGGUAAGGUAACGGCUUACCAAGGCGACGAUCAGUAGCCGACCUGAGAGGGUGAUCGGCCACAUUGGAACUGAGACACGGUCCAAACUCCUACGGGAGGCAGCAGUGGGGAAUAUUGCACAAUGGGCGAAAGCCUGAUGCAGCAACGCCGCGUGAGUGAUGAAGGCCUUCGGGUCGUAAAACUCUGUCCUCAAGGAAGAUAAUGACGGUACUUGAGGAGGAAGCCCCGGCUAACUACGUGCCAGCAGCCGCGGUAAUACGUAGGGGGCUAGCGUUAUCCGGAUUUACUGGGCGUAA